UCCAGACUGCAAGGGUCCACUGGGAGAACACAAGCAGCUUGGGGAGACAUGGCAAUCCAACUGUCAGGUGUGUACGUGUAGCAACCAAACCAAGACAGAGGAGUGUCAACCUAAACCCCCCUCCCCCCCACCUCUCUGCAGUCAGAACUCAGUCCUGGUCACCGGCUGCUGUGGCAAACAGACCUGUGUUGAGAAGACAUGUAACUAUGACGGAAGGACCUACAAAGUGGGAGACAGAUGGACAGACCUUGCCCUGCCCUGUGAGUCCUAUAGCUGUACCAGAGAAGGCACUCAGACAGUGAGAAGGGUGUGUCCCCAUCAGAACUGCUCAGAGGAGGACAGAGUAUGGGACGAACAACAUUGCUGCUACACAUGUAA
Non-coding RNA from Salmo salar (Atlantic salmon), 378 nucleotides. The record is from RefSeq and is a predicted model, not a curated record. NCBI's taxonomy places the organism in Eukaryota, Metazoa, Chordata, Actinopteri, Salmoniformes, Salmonidae.